This 288-nucleotide ribosomal RNA is filed under the name uncultured Bacilli bacterium. RNAcentral's name for it is "partial 16S ribosomal RNA". It matches the Rfam family "Bacterial small subunit ribosomal RNA", at positions 256 to 525 of the family's 1533-position model. The record is from RNAcentral. Lineage: Bacteria; Bacillati; Bacillota; Bacilli.
AACGGGCGUUACCCAAGGCGAUGAUGCAUAGCCCGAGUUGAGAGACUGAUCGGGCCACAUUGGGACUGAGACACGGGCCCAAACUCCUACGGGAGGCAGCAGUAGGGGAAUCUUCCACAAUGGACGAAAGUCUGAUGGAGCAAACGCCGCGUGAGUGAAGAAGGUUUUCGGAUCGUAAAAAGCUCUGUUGUUGGUGAAGAAGGAUAGAGGUAGUAACUGGCCCUUUAUUUGACGGUAAUCAACCCAGAAAGUCACGGGCUAACUACGUGCCCAGCAGCCGCGGUAAAU